Molecule: ribosomal RNA, 253 nt
Filed under: uncultured bacterium
Lineage: Bacteria
Description: partial 16S ribosomal RNA
Rfam family: Bacterial small subunit ribosomal RNA
Source: RNAcentral
UACGGGGGGGGCAAGCGUUGUUCGGAAUUACUGGGCGUAAAGGGCCUGUAGGUGGCUUGCCAAGUCAGACGUGAAAUCCCUCAGCUUAACUGGGGAACUGCGUCUGAGACUGGCGAGCUUGAGGGCAGGAGAGGAACGCGGAAUUCCAGGUGUAGCGGUGAAAUGCGUAGAUAUCUGGAGGAACACCGGUGGCGAAGGCGGCGUUCUGGACUGCAUCUGACACUGAAAGACGAAAGCCAGGGGAGCAAACGGG